GCCCCAGUAGCUCAGGGGAUAGAGCAACGGUCUUCUAAACCGCAGGUCGGGAGUUCGAAUCUCUCCUGGGGCG
This 73-nucleotide transfer RNA is filed under the name Anaerolineae bacterium. Its description in RNAcentral is "tRNA-Arg". It matches the Rfam family "tRNA". From Rfam's summary of the family: Transfer RNA (tRNA) molecules are approximately 80 nucleotides in length. Their secondary structure includes four short double-helical elements and three loops (D, anti-codon, and T loops). Lineage: Bacteria; Bacillati; Chloroflexota; Anaerolineae. The record is from RNAcentral.